This 584-nucleotide ribosomal RNA is filed under the name uncultured bacterium. RNAcentral's name for it is "partial 16S ribosomal RNA". It matches the Rfam family "Bacterial small subunit ribosomal RNA", at positions 355 to 1375 of the family's 1533-position model. The record is from RNAcentral.
CGGGGAAUUUUGGACAAUGGGCGAAAGCCUGAUCCAGCAAUGCCGCGUGUGUGAAGAAGGCCUUCGGGUUGUAAAGCACUUUUGUCCGGAAAGAAAUCCUUGGCUCUAAUACAGUCGGGGGAUGACGGUACCGGAAGAAUAAGCACCGGCUAACUACGUGCCAGCAGCCGCGGUAAUACGUAGGGUGCAAGCGUUAAUCGGAAUUACUGGGCGUAAAGCGUGCGCAGGUGGUUUGCUAAGACCGAUGUGAAAUCCCCGGGCUCAACCUGGGAACUGCAUUGGUGACUGGCAGGCUAGAGUAUGGCAGAGGGGGGUAGAAUUCCACGUGUAGCAGUGAAAUGCGUAGAGAUGUGGAGGAAUACCGAUGGCGAAGGCAGCCCCCUGGGCCAAUACUGACGCUCAUGCACGAAAGCGUGGGGAGCAAACAGGAUUAGAUACCCUGGUAGUCCACGCCCUAAACGAUGUCAACUAGUUGUUGGGGAUUCAUUCCUUAGUAACGUAGCUAACGCGUGAAGUUGACCGCCUGGGGAGUACGGUCGCAAGAUUAAAACUUAAAUGAAUUGACGGGGUCAUAGCUGUUUCCU